RNAcentral lists this ribosomal RNA (301 nucleotides) under uncultured bacterium. Its description in RNAcentral is "partial 16S ribosomal RNA". It matches the Rfam family "Bacterial small subunit ribosomal RNA", at positions 509 to 807 of the family's 1533-position model. The record is from RNAcentral.
CAGCCGCCGCGGUAAUACGUAGGUGGCAAGCGUUGUCCGGAAUUAUUGGGCGUAAAGGGCUCGCAGGCGGUUUCUUAAGUCUGAUGUGAAAGCCCCCGGCUCAACCGGGGAGGGUCAUUGGAAACUGGGAAACUUGAGUGCAGAAGAGGAGAGUGGAAUUCCACGUGUAGCGGUGAAAUGCGUAGAGAUGUGGAGGAACACCAGUGGCGAAGGCGACUCUCUGGUCUGUAACUGACGCUGAGGAGCGAAAGCUUGGGGAGCGAACAGGAUUAGAUACCCCUGUAGUCCCUGUCUCUUAUAC